This 85-nucleotide transfer RNA is filed under the name Methanomicrobiaceae archaeon. Its description in RNAcentral is "tRNA-Leu". The record is from RNAcentral. Lineage: Archaea; Methanobacteriati; Methanobacteriota; Methanomicrobia; Methanomicrobiales; Methanomicrobiaceae.
GCGAGGGUUGCCGAGCCAGGUCAAAGGCGCUAGGUUCAGGGCCUAGUCUCGCAGGAGUUCGGGCGUUCGAAUCGCCUCCCUCGCA